GCCUGGGUGGCUCAGUUGGCUUAGCACCUGACUUCGGCUCAGGUCAUGAUCUCACGGUUUGUGGGUUCGAGCCCCCUAUCGGGCU
This 85-nucleotide transfer RNA is filed under the name Felis catus (domestic cat). It matches the Rfam family "tRNA". From Rfam's summary of the family: Transfer RNA (tRNA) molecules are approximately 80 nucleotides in length. Their secondary structure includes four short double-helical elements and three loops (D, anti-codon, and T loops). Lineage: Eukaryota; Metazoa; Chordata; Mammalia; Carnivora; Felidae. The record is from Rfam by way of RNAcentral.